GGAAUAUUGCACAAUGGGCGCAAGCCUGAUGCAGCCAUGCCGCGUGUAUGAAGAAGGCCUUCGGGUUGUAAAGUACUUUCAGCGAGGAGGAAGGCGGUGAGGUUAAUAACCUCAUCGAUUGACGUUACUCGCAGAAGAAGCACCGGCUAACUCCGUGCCAGCAGCCGCGGUAAUACGGAGGGUGCAAGCGUUAAUCGGAAUUACUGGGCGUAAAGCGCACGCAGGCGGUCUGUCAAGUCGGAUGUGAAAUCCCCGGGCUCAACCUGGGAACUGCAUUCGAAACUGGCAGGCUAGAGUCUUGUAGAGGGGGGUAGAAUUCCAGGUGUAGCGGUGAAAUGCGUAGAGAUCUGGAGGAAUACCGGUGGCGAAGGCGGCCCCCUGGACAAAGACUGACGCUCAGGUGCGAAAGCGUGGGGAGCAAACA
RNAcentral lists this ribosomal RNA (424 nucleotides) under uncultured bacterium. RNAcentral's name for it is "bacterial SSU rRNA". It matches the Rfam family "Bacterial small subunit ribosomal RNA", at positions 358 to 774 of the family's 1533-position model. The record is from RNAcentral.